GGCUUUGUUUGCGCAGGAUAGGUGGGAGGCGUUGAAGAUUUUCUUGCGGGGAGAUUGGAGCCGUUGGUGAGAUACCACUCUAACAAUGCUAGGAUUCUAACCCUAUACCGUUAUCCGGUUAGGGGACAGUUUCAGGUGGUCAGUUUGACUGGGGCGGUCGCCUCCCAAAAGGUAACGGAGGCGUGCAAAGGUUUCCUCAGGCUGGUCGGAAAUCAGUCGUAGAGUGCAAAGGCAUAAGGAAGCUUGAUUGUGAGACCUACAAGUCGAACAAAGACGAAAGUCGGCCUUAGUGAUCCGACGGUUCCGAGUGGAAGGGCCGUCGCUCAACGGAUAAAAGUUACUCUAGGGAUAACAGGCUGA
This 360-nucleotide ribosomal RNA is filed under the name uncultured eukaryote. RNAcentral describes it as "LSU rRNA". It matches the Rfam family "Bacterial large subunit ribosomal RNA", at positions 2126 to 2485 of the family's 2925-position model. The record is from RNAcentral.